RNAcentral lists this ribosomal RNA (406 nucleotides) under uncultured bacterium. RNAcentral describes it as "partial 16S ribosomal RNA". It matches the Rfam family "Bacterial small subunit ribosomal RNA", at positions 30 to 526 of the family's 1533-position model. The record is from RNAcentral.
AUUGAACGCUGGCGGCAGGCCUAACACAUGCAAGUCGGGCGAGUGGCGGACGGGUGAGUAAUGUAUGGGUAACUGCCUGAUGGAGGGGGAUAACUACUGGAAACGGUAGCUAAUACCGCAUACCAUCAGAUGAACCCAUAUGGGAUUAGCUGGUAGGUAGGGUAACGGCUUACCUAGGCGACGAUCCCUAGCUGGUCUGAGAGGAUGAUCAGCGACACCGGGACUGAGAAACGGCCCAGACGCCUACGGGAGGCAGCAGUGGGGAAUAUGGCACAAUGGGCGCAAGCCUGAUGCAGCCAUGCCGCGUGUAUGAAGAAGGCCGUCGGGUUGUAAAGUACUUUCAGUCGGGAGGCGUUACCGGCAGAAGAAGCACCGGCUAACUCCGUGCCAGCAGCCGCGGUAAUUC